GAGUUUGAUCCUGGCUCAGGAUGAACGCUAGCGGCAGGCUUAAUACAUGCAAGGCGAGGGGCAGCAAUGUCACCGUCGUACGGGUGCGUAACGCGUAUGCAACCUACCUUCAACUGGGGGAUAGCCCGGGAAACCCGGAUUAAUACCGCAUAAUACAGGGGGCCCACAUGGGUCUAUUUGUUAAAGAGUUUAUUGGUUGAAGAUGGGCAUGCGUUCGAUUAGCUAGUUGGUACGGGUAACGGCCUACCAAGGCAACGAUCGAUAGGGGAGCUGAGAGGUUGAUCCCCCACACGGGCACUGAGAUACGGGCCCGACUCCUACGGGAGGCAGCAGUAGGGAAUAUUGGGCAAUGGAUGCAAGUCUGACCCAGCCAUGCCGCGUGCCGGAUGAAGGCCCUCAGGGUUGUAAACGGCUUUUAUUCGGGAAGAAGAGCAGGGAUGCGUCCCUGUGUGACGGUACUGAAUGAAUAAGCACCGGCUAACUCCGUG
This 488-nucleotide ribosomal RNA is filed under the name uncultured Dyadobacter sp. RNAcentral describes it as "bacterial SSU rRNA". It matches the Rfam family "Bacterial small subunit ribosomal RNA", at positions 9 to 507 of the family's 1533-position model. The record is from RNAcentral. Lineage: Bacteria; Pseudomonadati; Bacteroidota; Cytophagia; Cytophagales; Spirosomataceae.